Molecule: non-coding RNA, 27 nt
Filed under: Cricetulus griseus (Chinese hamster)
Lineage: Eukaryota; Metazoa; Chordata; Mammalia; Rodentia; Cricetidae
Source: RNAcentral
CCCUUUCUCUUCCCAGGUAACUAGUAG